This is a non-coding RNA of Flavobacterium fryxellicola, 327 nucleotides long. The record is from Rfam. Lineage: Bacteria; Pseudomonadati; Bacteroidota; Flavobacteriia; Flavobacteriales; Flavobacteriaceae.
ACCGCAGACCGCCUUAUCGCCGUUUUGAGUAAUCAAGAAGGAGGAAAGUCCGGACACCAUAGGGAAGCAUAGCGGGUAACGCCCGCCGGUUCGCUUCGGCGAAUUAGGACAAGUGCAACAGAAAGUAUGUACAGGUAAUGCUGUAGUGAAACCAGGUAAACUCUAUGCGGUGAAAUAUCAAGUAUAUCAGCAUUUAAGGGCUUCUCGUCCGUUGCUGAAGGGUAGAUAGCUUGAGUUACGCAGUAAUGCGUAAUCUAGAUAAAUGAUAAGGUAAUGCUGAAAUAAAUUCAGUGUUAACAGAAUCCGGCUUACAGGUCUGCUUUUUUA